This 468-nucleotide ribosomal RNA is filed under the name uncultured bacterium. RNAcentral's name for it is "partial 16S ribosomal RNA". It matches the Rfam family "Bacterial small subunit ribosomal RNA", at positions 28 to 507 of the family's 1533-position model. The record is from RNAcentral.
GACGAACGCUGGCGGCGUGCUUAACACAUGCAAGUCGAACGGAAAGGCCCUGCUUUUGUGGGGUGCUCGAGUGGCGAACGGGUGAGUAACACGUGAGUAACCUGCCCUUGACUUUGGGAUAACUUCAGGAAACUGGGGCUAAUACCGGAUAGGAGCUCCUGCUGCAUGGUGUGGGUUGGAAAGUUUCGGCGGUUGGGGAUGGACUCGCGGCUUAUCAGCUUGUUGGUGGGGUAGUGGCUUACCAAGGCUUUGACGGGUAGCCGGCCUGAGAGGGUGACCGGCGACAUUGGGACUGAGAUACGGCCCAGACGCCUACGGGAGGCAGCAGUGGGAAAUAUUGCACAAUGGGCGGAAGCCUGAUGCAGCAACGCCGCGUGCGGGAUGACGGCCUUCGGGUUGUAAACCGCUUUCGCCUGUGACGAAGCGUGAGUGACGGUAAUGGGUAAAGAAGCACCGGCUAACUACGUG